This is a long non-coding RNA of Oryza sativa Japonica Group (Japanese rice), 1307 nucleotides long. RefSeq lists it as uncharacterized. NCBI's taxonomy places the organism in Eukaryota, Viridiplantae, Streptophyta, Magnoliopsida, Poales, Poaceae. The record is from RefSeq and is a predicted model, not a curated record.
UACUGUUUAUUAUGUGAGCCUUCUAAUGCUACAAAACUGAGAAAUCCUGAACUGAAUCAGUACAGAUUAGAGAACAGGGCAAAUCAACAAUGUAUGCAGUAAAGACAGCAGAAUUUGAUGCUAUUUAAGUGAAUACUUGUACCCUCCUCUGCCUCCUUUGCCCCGUCGUCAUCACGACCGGCCUCUGCUUCCUCGGUGCGGAGCUUCUUGGCGGCUGCUCUCCUUUUCUUGUCGGCGGCUUUCUUGGCGCGGCGCCUCUCUUCGGCUUCCUUGCUGCGACCUCGCCGGUCGCCGUUCUUCUUCUUGGCCCGGAGUACCUCCUCCGGCACUGACACCGCCUCCAUCGCCUUGGAGGUGACCACCUGAUCCUCGUCACCGCCGCAGCCGCCGUCGGCGUCCUCCGCUUUCUCGGUGCGGCGGCGCUUAUUAUUCUUGGCGGCGCGGCGUCUCUCUCCGGCUUCCUUGCUGCAGCCGCCGACCCCCGCCGCCGGUUUGCCCGCCGACGCCAUCUGGGCACCGGUCGUCUUGGGGCGUGAUCGUGAUCGCUUCUUCCUUCUUCCCGUGGAGAACCUUGGCGCAGCCGUCCUCAAUCUCCAUGUGCGCCCAACGAGAGCUUCGUCGCCGUCCCCUCGCGCGCCCGGGCCCGGCCGUCUCCGUCUAGGUCAGGUCACGGUGGCACGCAGCCCUAGCUAGCCAGCUAGGGGCAGGUUGGAAGGCCGUGGUUGGGCCAGAUGGGCUUACGUGAGGAGCCAGGGAGAGUCCGUACGUAGCGCAAGCGGACAGGAGACUCCAACAAAUUAAACGUGGGUGACCCUAGUUCUGCCGUCGCAAUUGGUCGUGUGAAGCCGUACGUACGUCUCCCCGUCCCUGGUGGUAAAGCUUCUUGGCAUUGUGGACUGUUUUGCCCCUGGGCCCACUGUCAGAUCAAAGGAAGAUGUUUCCUCCUCUCUCAAUCGAUUGAUCCCUCCAGUCUCCAGGCGUCGCUCAGCACGGCCGUGAGCGCCACCACCCCCGCCGCUGUUCGCCGCCACCACCCCCGCCGCCGUGCGCCGCCACCACUCCGCCGCCGGGCGCCGCCAACCCCGCCGCUGGGCGCCGUCGGCACUCGACGCCCCACUGCCGCCACCAAGCUGUAGUUUGUUCUUUUUCAGUGUUUCAGUUGGAAAAACACAUAUUUGCUUAUACUAUGUGUAAAUACACUCUAAUAUAGAGGACAGAGAAUUGGGGCACUACUCAUUGAUUGUUCAUAUUUUGAUGUACUAGUUCAUGUAUUGUGUAUACUAUAUACAUAGACAUAUUUGAUUGUU